GAAUAAAUAAGGAAGCAGGGAGAAGAAGAAGAAUGGAUUCCCCCAUGCCCUUGCAAGACUGUUUAUGAACUAAAAGGCAGAGGGCAGAGACUGUCUUCAAAUCAUUCAAUCACCAAGUACUAAUGCUCCAAGGAGAGAAUGCACUUAUGCUCCAAUUGGUGUCUUUCCACUGACUUCUUUUGGAUGAACCCCAAGUGAAAACAGACUUUGCAACUGGCUUUGAAGAUGCAUACGGCCAGUCAUGUUAUGAUUUUCCAAUGGAGAGGACCCCAUGGCAUGGAAUGGUGGGCAGCCUCCAGCCAACCACCAUGAGUGUCCUGGACCCUCAGUCCCAUAGCCACAGAGAAAUAAACUUGGAAGAGGUACCUGUGCUCCAGAAAGCAACUCAGCCUAAUCAGUACCUUGAUUCCAGCUUGGGAGACACUGAGCAGAGGACCCAGCUAAUCUGUGGACAGACUCCUGACCCAGUAAAAUUGUGAGGUAAAGGAGUUUGUGUUAAGUCCUAACAUUUUUGCAU
Long non-coding RNA from Mustela erminea (ermine), 517 nucleotides. RefSeq lists it as uncharacterized. Lineage: Eukaryota; Metazoa; Chordata; Mammalia; Carnivora; Mustelidae. The transcript has 4 exons. The record is from RefSeq and is a predicted model, not a curated record.